UACGGAGGGUGCAAGCGUUAUCCGGAUUUACUGGGUUUAAAGGGUGCGUAGGUGGGUCUGUAAGUCAGUGGUGAAAUCUCCGAGCUUAACUCGGAAACUGCCAUUGAUACUAUAGAUCUUGAAUUAUCUGGAGGUAAGCGGAAUAUGUCAUGUAGCGGUGAAAUGCUUAGAUAUGACAUAGAACACCAAUUGCGAAGGCAGCUUACUACGGAUUUAUUGACACUGAGGCACGAAAGCGUGGGGAUCAAACAGG
Molecule: ribosomal RNA, 253 nt
Filed under: uncultured Ferruginibacter sp.
Lineage: Bacteria; Pseudomonadati; Bacteroidota; Chitinophagia; Chitinophagales; Chitinophagaceae
Description: partial 16S ribosomal RNA
Rfam family: Bacterial small subunit ribosomal RNA
Source: RNAcentral